RNAcentral lists this ribosomal RNA (194 nucleotides) under uncultured soil bacterium. RNAcentral's name for it is "partial 16S ribosomal RNA". It matches the Rfam family "Bacterial small subunit ribosomal RNA", at positions 26 to 221 of the family's 1533-position model. The record is from RNAcentral.
AGAUUGAACGCUAGCGGGAUGCUUUACACAUGCAAGUCGAACGGCAGCGCGGACUUCGGUCUGGCGGCGAGUGGCGAACGGGUGAGUAAUAUAUCGGAACGUGCCCAGUAGCGGGGGAUAACUACGCGAAAGCGUGGCUAAUACCGCAUAAGAUCUACGGAUGAAAGCGAGGGGAUCGCAAGACCUUGCGCGAA